GAUGAACGCUGGCGGCGUGCUUAACACAUGCAAGUCGAACGGAAAGGCUCCUGCUUGCAGGGGUACUCGAGUGGCGAACGGGUGAGUAACACGUGGGUGAUCUGCCCUGCACUUCGGGAUAAGCCUGGGAAACUGGGUCUAAUACCGGAUAGGACGAUGGUUUGGAUGCCAUUGUGGAAAGUUUUUCGGUGUGGGAUGAGCUCGCGGCCUAUCAGCUUGUUGGUGGGGUAAUGGCCUACCAAGGCGUCGACGGGUAGCCGGCCUGAGAGGGUGUACGGCCACAUUGGGACUGAGAUACGGCCCAGACUCCUACGGGAGGCAGCAGUGGGGAAUAUUGCACAAUGGGCGCAAGCCUGAUGCUGCGACGCCGCGUGGGGGAUGACGGCCUUCGGGUUGUAAACUCCUUUCGCUAGGGACGAAGCGCAAGUGACGGUACCUGGAGAAGAAGCACCGGCUAACUACGUG
RNAcentral lists this ribosomal RNA (465 nucleotides) under uncultured bacterium. RNAcentral's name for it is "partial 16S ribosomal RNA". It matches the Rfam family "Bacterial small subunit ribosomal RNA", at positions 28 to 507 of the family's 1533-position model. The record is from RNAcentral.